Molecule: ribosomal RNA, 474 nt
Filed under: uncultured bacterium
Lineage: Bacteria
Description: bacterial SSU rRNA
Rfam family: Bacterial small subunit ribosomal RNA
Source: RNAcentral
ACUCCUACGGGAGGCAGCAGUGGGGAAUAUUGGACAAUGGGGGAAACCCUGAUCCAGCCAUGCCGCGUGUGUGAAGAAGGCCUUCGGUUGUAAAGCACUUCAGUGGGGAGGAAAGGUUGAUGGUUAAUACCUAUCAGCUGUGACGUUACCCACAGAAGAAGCACCGGCUAACUCCGUGCCAGCAGCCGCGGUAAUACGGAGGGUGCAAGCGUUAAUCGGAAUUACUGGGCGUAAAGCGUGCGCAGGCGGUCUGUUAAGCGAGAUGUGAAAGACCCCGGGCCGUCAACCUGGGAACUGCAUUUCGUAACUGGCAGACUAGAGUCUGUAGAGGGGUUAGGAAUUCCAGGUGUAGCGGUGAAAUGCGUAGAGAUCUGGAGGAAUACCGGUGGCGAAGGCGGCCCCUCGGACAAAGACUGACGCUCAGGCACGAAAGCGUGGGAGGCAAACAGGAUUAGAUACCCUGGUAGGUCAGUC